This 253-nucleotide ribosomal RNA is filed under the name uncultured bacterium. RNAcentral describes it as "partial 16S ribosomal RNA". It matches the Rfam family "Bacterial small subunit ribosomal RNA", at positions 524 to 776 of the family's 1533-position model. The record is from RNAcentral.
GACAGAGGGUGCAAACGUUGUUCGGAAUUACUGGGCGUAAAGCGUGUGUAGGCGGUCUCAUAAGUCGGGUGUGAAAGCCCCGGGCUCAACCUGGGAAGUGCACUCGAAACUGCAGAGCUCGAGUCCUGGAGAGGAAGGCGGAAUUCUCGGUGUAGAGGUGAAAUUCGUAGAUAUCGAGAGGAACACCGGUGGCGAAGGCGGCCUUCUGGACAGUGACUGACGCUGAGACGCGAAAGCGUGGGGAGCAAACAGG